RNAcentral lists this ribosomal RNA (460 nucleotides) under uncultured bacterium. RNAcentral's name for it is "partial 16S ribosomal RNA". It matches the Rfam family "Bacterial small subunit ribosomal RNA", at positions 338 to 795 of the family's 1533-position model. The record is from RNAcentral.
CCUACGGGUGGCAGCAGUGAGGAAUAUUGGUCAAUGGACGAGAGUCUGAACCAGCCAAGUAGCGUGAAGGAUGACUGCCCUAUGGGUUGUAAACUUCUUUUAUAUGGGAAUAAAAUGUUCCACGUGUGGGAUUUUGUAUGUACCAUAUGAAUAAGGAUCGGCUAACUCCGUGCCAGCAGCCGCGGUAAUACGGAGGAUCCGAGCGUUAUCCGGAUUUAUUGGGUUUAAAGGGAGCGUAGGUGGAUUGUUAAGUCAGUUGUGAAAGUUUGCGGCUCAACCGUAAAAUUGCAGUUGAGACUGGCAGUCUUGAGUACAGUAGAGGUGGGCGGAAUGCGUGGUGUAGCGGUGAAAUGCUUAGAUAUCACGAAGAACUCCGAUUGCGAAGGCAGUUCACUGGACUGCAACUGACACUGAGGCUCGAAAGUGUGGGUAUCAAACAGGAUUAGAUACCCUUGUAGUC